RNAcentral lists this ribosomal RNA (113 nucleotides) under Mustela putorius furo (domestic ferret). The record is from RNAcentral. Lineage: Eukaryota; Metazoa; Chordata; Mammalia; Carnivora; Mustelidae.
GUCUACGGCCAUACCACCCUGAACGCGCCCAAUCUCGUCUGAUCUCGGAAGCUAAGCAGGGUCGGGCCUGGUUAGUACUUGGAUGGGAAAGAAAUAUUUCAGUUGCUUGCAUU